UUUUAAAUCAUAAAACCAAUAACAAGAAUUUGAAUAUAUAUUUAAAAAUCUAAGAACCAAUACUAAUGAACUGAAUAUGGAUUUUGAAAUUAUAUAACCAAUAAUACUAUAUUUUAUUUGUAUUUUAAAAUCCAUCUAAAUAUACCAACCAAUAACACCCUCUGACAUUCUCUGUAACAUCCCCCGGCGCAGCCUAUCUGCAAAAUUCCAAAAAGAAGAGAUUCUAGGGUUUUCUUCUCUCACUCGCUAUAAAAAAAAGGUGCCUUUUACACUA
This 274-nucleotide long non-coding RNA is filed under the name Brassica napus (rape). RNAcentral describes it as "long non-coding RNA (BNAP_LNC004481)". Lineage: Eukaryota; Viridiplantae; Streptophyta; Magnoliopsida; Brassicales; Brassicaceae. The record is from RNAcentral.